AUGUCUAUGCACCCUAUGUCGCUCUCCUUACAACCCUUCACUGCAAAUUCAAUAAACAAAUAUUCUUUAAGCACUAGUGCAAAUUAUGACCGUGGUUUUAUAAAGUUGGUGCCAAUUGGAAGAAGUAGUGGACAUUGGGCCACAAAUUUCAGACCAAAUUCUGUGUCUAGGCCUGAAACUUCUGUAGGACAUGAUUGUGUAGUGGGAGAGAAUGAUGGUGUGAUCAUAGUUGAUCACGGAUCACGUCGACAAGAAUCUAAUCUCAUGCUACAUGAUUUUUUUAGCAUGUUCAAGGCCAGGACUUGCUACAAGAUUGUUGGGCCUGCUCACAUGGAGCUGGCUGAGCCUACUAUUAAGGAAGCACUUGGAAAAUGUGUGCAGCAGGGAGCAUCUCGCGUUAUUGUCAGUCCAUAUUUCCUUUCCCCUGGGCGACACUGGAAGCAAGAUAUCCCUUCUUUAGCAUCAGAAGCCUCUAAAGAGCACUCAAGCGUACCCUACAUCAUCACGGCUCCUCUUGGAUUACAUGAGCUUAUGGUGGUAUGUGCUAAUUAA
Molecule: ribosomal RNA, 552 nt
Filed under: Triticum aestivum (bread wheat)
Lineage: Eukaryota; Viridiplantae; Streptophyta; Magnoliopsida; Poales; Poaceae
Description: partial small subunit ribosomal RNA
Source: RNAcentral